This 326-nucleotide ribosomal RNA is filed under the name uncultured Tomentella. RNAcentral describes it as "eukaryotic LSU rRNA". The stretch from base 271 to 326 matches the Rfam family "Eukaryotic large subunit ribosomal RNA", at positions 1 to 56 of the family's 3401-position model. The record is from RNAcentral. Lineage: Eukaryota; Fungi; Basidiomycota; Agaricomycetes; Thelephorales; Thelephoraceae.
UGCGCCCCUUGGCUAUUCCGAGGGGCAUGCCUGUUUGAGUAUCAUGAACACCUCAACUCUCACGGUUUGCCGUGAAGAGCUUGGACUUUGGAGGUUUUUGCUGGCCCAUGGUCGGCUCCUCUCAAAUGAAUUAGCUUGCCAGUUUUCGGUGGCGUCACGGGUGUGAUAACUAUCUACGCUUGUGGUUGUCCACUGGGUAACCUUCCGGCGACGGGGGUUUGCUGGAGCUUAUAAAUGUCUCUCCUUGGCGAAGACAGCUUUUUGAACAUUUGAUCUCAAAUCAGGUAGGACUACCCGCUGAACUUAAGCAUAUCAAUAAGCGGAGG